GGGUAAUGGCCUACCAAGGCUACGACGGGUAGGGGACGUGAGAGCGUGACCCCCCAGAACGGGACUGAGACACGGCCCGUACACCUACGGGUGGCAGCAACCGGGAAUCGUGCGCAAUGGACGAAAGUCUGACGCCGCGACGCCGCGUGAGGGAUGAAGGCCUUCGGGUUGUAAACCUCUUUUGUUUCGUCGGAGACGACGAGAAGAAUAAGCACCUGCUAACUCUGUGCCAGCAGCCGCGGUAAUACAGAGGGUGCAAGCGUUAUCCGGAUUUAUUGGGCGUAAAGCGUUUCGUAGGCGGUAAGGUAAGUUACACUUCAAAGGCCAGGGCUUAACCUUGGAAAGGGGUGUAAUACUGUCUUACUUGAAAUGUUUCGGGGUUAUCGGAACUCUCGGUGUAGGGGUGAAAUCCGUUGAUAUCGAGAGGAACACCAAGGGCGAAGGCAGAUAACUAGGAACCUUUUGACGCUGAGGAACGACAGCUAGGGGAGCGAAUGGGAUUAGAGACCCCAGUAGUCCUAGCCGUAAACUUUGCUCGCUAGUCCCCUCGGUUUUUCCGAGAGGGCGUAAGCUAACGCGUUAAGCGAGCCGCCUGGGGAGUACGGCCGCAAGGCUAAAACUCAAAGGAAUUGACGGGAACCUGCACAACCAGUGGAGCAUGUGGUUUAAUUCGAGACGAACCGAAGAACCUUACCAGGCUUUGACAUGCUACCGUUUUAACUUUCCAGAAAUGGAGAGCUAUCCGUAAGGAUGGUAGCACAGGUGUUGCAUGGCCGUCGUCAGCUCGUGCCGUGGGGUGUUCCCUUCAGUGGGGUAACGAGCGCAACCCCUGCCAAAUGUUGAAUAUUCAUUUGGGACUGUCCGAUUUUUUAUCAGACGGAAGUGGGGACGACGUCAGGUCAGCAUGGCCCUUAUAGCCUGGGCGACACACAUGCUACAAUGGAGCCGACAAUGGGUUUUGCCAAGCCGUAAGGCGGAGCUAAUCCCAUCAAACGGCUUCUCAGUGGGGAUUGAGGGCUGCAACUCGCCCUCAUGAACGCGGAAUUGGUAGUAAUCGCGGAUCAGCUAUGCCGCGGUGAAUACGUUCUCAGGUUUUGUACAAAUCAAAUUGCGCCUUCCGGUUGCAAUUUCUAUCCGGUGUAAUUCCGGUCAAGGAAAGAUAAAUUCUUUGAAGCGAAAUAACAUCCUUUGACAGCGAUGUCAGAGAGAAAAGGGUUAAAGUAGCAAUUUUCAGCUUGAAGUUUAAACGGUUCUAUGACUUUUGCGACCAUUCGUACAGAUUGGGAAGCAUUUAUCAUACAAAGCAUAGAAUAAUUGGGCUCAAGAUGAAAAUAAAAUGAAAUUACAAUCACGAAGGGAGAUCUGAUAUUGACCUUUUAUCAAAGGAAAGUUUUGGUGCGAACCAACUCUUUGUAAAUAUCAGAAGUCUGCUGUAUUCGUAGUACUUUUAAACUCUUAAAAGGAAGGAAUACUUUCUAUUUUAAUUAAUAGGACGUCCGCCAAGGUACGGGAAAACCGUGCGCCUGGUGGGGAGAGAAGCAUAAAGAGUAAUCUUAGUGACUAUCUCAGAACACCGCCCGUCAAGUUAGUGAAGUUGGGGGCACCUGAACCUCGAUUGUAUCGGGGGAGGGUGACACCAGCGACAAGAAUUAAGUCGUAACAAGGUAUCCGUACUGGAAGGUGCGGAUGGAUCACCUCCUU
RNAcentral lists this ribosomal RNA (1701 nucleotides) under Candidatus Woesebacteria bacterium GW2011_GWF1_46_13. Its description in RNAcentral is "bacterial SSU rRNA". The stretch from base 1 to 1190 matches the Rfam family "Bacterial small subunit ribosomal RNA", at positions 255 to 1533 of the family's 1533-position model. Lineage: Bacteria; Candidatus Woeseibacteriota. The record is from RNAcentral.